Long non-coding RNA from Eucalyptus grandis, 228 nucleotides. RefSeq lists it as uncharacterized. The transcript is spliced from 3 exons. Lineage: Eukaryota; Viridiplantae; Streptophyta; Magnoliopsida; Myrtales; Myrtaceae. The record is from RefSeq and is a predicted model, not a curated record.
GAACCUAUGCUGCGUUCAUGCGGUAUAACAAUUAGCAAUAGCUUUACUCAAGUUGAAGGCCGUGUUCUACCGGCUCCUAAGCUAAACGUGGGCAAUGGAGAGGAUUUCUUCCCCCGCAAUGGACGGUGGAGCUUUCAGAAUAAGAAAUUUGUUGAGCCAGCUAAGAUAUAGAAAUGGGCUGUGGUGAACUUCUUUGCUCGGUGUGACAUGCGUGGGCUUAUAAGAGAC